This 440-nucleotide ribosomal RNA is filed under the name uncultured bacterium. Its description in RNAcentral is "partial 16S ribosomal RNA". It matches the Rfam family "Bacterial small subunit ribosomal RNA", at positions 338 to 795 of the family's 1533-position model. The record is from RNAcentral.
CCUACGGGUGGCAGCAGUGGGGAAUAUUGCACAAUGGGGGAAACCCUGAUGCAGCGACGCCGCGUGAGUGAAGAAGUAUUUCGGUACGUAAACCUCUAUCAGCAGGGAAGAAAAUGACGGUAUCUGACUAAGAAGCCCCGGCUAACUACGGGCCAGCAGCCGCGGUAAUACGUAGGGGGAAAGCGUUAUCCGGAUUUACUGGGUGUAAAGGGAGCGUAGACGGCAGUUGAAGUCUGGAGUGAAAUCCCGUGGCUUAACCAUAGAACUGCUUUGGAAACUGUGCAGCUAGAGUGCAGGAGAGGUAAGCGGAAGUCCUAGUGUAGCGGUGAAAUGCGUAGAUAUUAGGAGGAACACCAGUGGCGAAGGCGGCUUGCUGGACUGCAACUGACGUUGAGGCUCGAAAGCGUGGGGAGCAAACAGGAUUAGAUACCCUUGUAGUC